UCUAAUAUGACAGAAUUUAUGUAAUGAAUUUAAGCUUCAUCAAUAAAGAUUUUUAUCUUUUUUUAGAA
Molecule: transfer RNA, 68 nt
Filed under: Hydropsyche pellucidula
Lineage: Eukaryota; Metazoa; Arthropoda; Insecta; Trichoptera; Hydropsychidae
Description: tRNA-Leu
Source: RNAcentral